CGGGUCCUGUGAGACUCGUGAUGGUGGGCCGAUAUUGAGCCAACGGAAAUGAAACGGGAACGUGACGCUGCCUGGGUGAGCAGGUCCACCUUGAGUGGAAGUCCCGAAGGGUAAGCAGAUGUACCCACCUGGAAGGCCAGGUUCAUUAUUUCCUGCCACACGAUUUCACGGGGCCACC
This 178-nucleotide non-coding RNA is filed under the name Acidobacteria bacterium CG_4_9_14_3_um_filter_49_7. Its description in RNAcentral is "6S RNA". It matches the Rfam family "6S / SsrS RNA". Rfam says of the family: E. coli 6S RNA was the first non coding RNA to be sequenced, but its function was unknown until recently. It consists of 184 nucleotides that fold into an extended hairpin structure with a large single-stranded internal bulge. Lineage: Bacteria; Pseudomonadati; Acidobacteriota. The record is from RNAcentral.